CCUACGGGUGGCAGCAGUGGGGAAUAUUGCACAAUGGGGGAAACCCUGAUGCAGCGACGCCGCGUGAGUGAAGAAGUAAUUCGUUAUGUAAAGCUCUAUCAGCAGGGAAGAAAAUGACGGUACUUGAGGAAGAAGCCCCGGCUAAUUACGUGCCAGCAGCCGCGGUAAUACGCCGGGGGCAAGCGUUAUCCGGAUUUACUGGGUGUAAAGGGAGCGUAGACGGCAGUGCAAGUCUGGUGUGAAAGGCGGGGGCUCAACCCCCGGACUGCACUGGAAACUGGGCGGCUGGAGUGCAGGAGAGAGGAGUAGAAUUCCAAGUGUAGCGGUGAAAUGCGUAGAUAUUAGGAGGAACACCAGUGGCGAAGGCAGCUUACUGGACUGUAACUGACGUUGAGGCGCGAAAGCGUGGGGAGCAAACAGGAUUAGAUACCCUUGUAGUC
RNAcentral lists this ribosomal RNA (440 nucleotides) under uncultured bacterium. RNAcentral describes it as "partial 16S ribosomal RNA". It matches the Rfam family "Bacterial small subunit ribosomal RNA", at positions 338 to 795 of the family's 1533-position model. The record is from RNAcentral.